RNAcentral lists this ribosomal RNA (465 nucleotides) under uncultured Klebsiella sp. RNAcentral describes it as "bacterial SSU rRNA". It matches the Rfam family "Bacterial small subunit ribosomal RNA", at positions 338 to 795 of the family's 1533-position model. The record is from RNAcentral. Lineage: Bacteria; Pseudomonadati; Pseudomonadota; Gammaproteobacteria; Enterobacterales; Enterobacteriaceae.
CCUACGGGAGGCUGCAGUGGGGAAUAUUGCACAAUGGGCGCAAGCCUGAUGCAGCCAUGCCGCGUGUGUGAAGAAGGCCUUCGGGUUGUAAAGCACUUUCAGCGGGGAGGAAGGCGGUGAGGUUAAUAACCUCAUCGAUUGACGUUACCCGCAGAAGAAGCACCGGCUAACUCCGUGCCAGCAGCCGCGGUAAUACGGAGGGUGCCAGCGUUAAUCGGAAUUACUGGGCGUAAAGCGCACGCAGGCGGUCUGUCAAGUCGGAUGUGAAAUCCCCGGGCUCAACCUGGGAACUGCAUUCGAAACUGGCAGGCUAGAGUCUUGUAGAGGGGGGUAGAAUUCCAGGUGUAGCGGUGAAAUGCGUAGAGAUCUGGAGGAAUACCGGUGGCGAAGGCGGCCCCCUGGACAAAGACUGACGCUCAGGUGCGAAAGCGUGGGGAGCAAACAGGAUUAGAUACCCUGGUAGUC